Molecule: long non-coding RNA, 2736 nt
Organism: Peromyscus californicus insignis
Lineage: Eukaryota; Metazoa; Chordata; Mammalia; Rodentia; Cricetidae
Exons: 2
Source: RefSeq, a predicted model, not a curated record
UGGGUGUGGUAAGCAUUCCUCCUGUGCAGUGGGAAGCCCCACACUUGUUUAUCCAUCCACUAGUUAGUCACAGAAAACUUCUGUGGUUUUUAUCCGUUAUCAAUAAAGUUGGAUUGGACAUGUAGCUCAGUGGUAGAGCACCUGCUUGGUAUAUGCAAGGCCCUGGGCUCAACUCUAAGCACUGAAAGAAAAUGCUACAAACAUAAAGUAUAAAUCUUAAAUUAAAAAAAAAUCUUUUGAGACAAGAUUUUUAUGUAUCUUAGCUUGGCCUCAAAGUAGACAGUCAAGGAUGACCUUGAACUUCUGAUACCUCUACCUCCACUUAAGCUCUGGGAUUGCAGGUAGACACUACCAUACUUGUUUGGUGUGGUGCUGGGGACCAAAUCCAGGGUUUCACGCUGCUUGUACAUGAAAGGGGCUACAUCCUCGGCCCCAGGGUUUCAAUUUUACAGAACGGUUUCAUUUCUCUCGGCAGAGGCAAACAAACAGGCAUUUUGUUUCACUGGUUCUCAGCAACUCAUGAAUCGGGUACUGUUUUCCUGUAGUUUAUUGUAUAGGUUUCUCUUUUCUGUACAUGGACCUUGUGGUUGAUCUAAUGUGCACCCCAAUAAACUUAUCUGGGGUCAGAGAGCAGAACAGCCACUAGAUAUAGAGGCCAGAAAAUGGUGGCACACCCACCUUUAAUCCUAGCAUUCCGGAGGCAGAGAUCCGCCUGGAUCUCUGUGAGUUCAAGGUCACACUGGAAACAGUCAGGCAUGGUAACAAGAGCCUUUAAUCCCAGGGAGGAUGGCAGGAAGCAGAAAGGUAUAUAAGGAGUGAGGACCAGGAACUAGAGCUGGUUAAGCUUUUAGGCUUUUGAGCAGCAGUUCAGCUGAGAUCCAUUCGGAUGAGGACACAGAGGUUUCCAGUCUGAGGAUAUUGGCAAGGUGAGGUUGGCUAUGGCUUGUUCUGCUUCUCUGACCUUCCAGCAUUCACCCCAAUAACUGGCUCCAGGUUUGUUUUUAUUAAUAAGACCAUUUAAGAUUCGUGCUAGAGGACCUUUCAUUAAAUUCCCAAUGUCUCCAGUCAUGGCUCCUUCAUUCUAUUUUCUGUACCAAUACUUCUUUACUCUGGGAAAGCUAACAACAUGACGAUCCUUUUUAACCCCCACCUUUCACAGUGUAUCAUUCCCACGGUUCUUUCCACUGUCAUCUUUAUUUGGGCCACUGAAAUACAUUCUAGAUUUCAAGCACAGUUCCCAGUUGUCAGAAAAGUUCCAUUGGUUGACUCAAGUUGCUCAUCGAUUUGGUUGCAGCUCCCAUUGCUCUACCGAGAAGUAGGGUUUUCUACAAGAGAGUGCCGUCAAUGCCUGCCUCAGGUUUCACGGGCCAGAGCUUGAGAGACAGAGGAGACGGAACCAAUGCAAGGAACUCGGCCCAUCACAGGAACUAAUAAAAUCCCGAGUUCAUUCCUCAUCUGCCAUUUGCCCUUCCGAAGUCUCCGCUAGUCCACUCUUCUGCAUCACCCCGUUUUCAGUUUGCCUGACUUACUCCAUCUCAGCUAGCUGGGGAAGGCCGUGCCACGGUGUGAAUGAGAACAGGCCGAGGGGACUUGUGAUGUCGGCCUCUGUUUUAAAGCCUGUGUCCGAAUGAACGAGGUGCGCCGUGUAAGGUAAGAAUUAAAGAGAACACAGCGACUUGAAAGGCCCUGAUUAAAGGCCUGCUAGGCCACACGGCUUAAGUUAGUGUUGUGGCCACAGAAGAGACAGGUUUAGUAUGCGGCUCCUGCUCUCCAGGAACCCAGCUAUGGGAAGCCUGGCCCAGGGGAAAUGCAUGGCUACACACAGUCAAAAGUCAACAAGGCUACACAGGAAGAGGAGGAGGAGGAGAGAUGGGAGCUGGGGUAACAUGCAGGCCAGGCAGCUCCGUGCUGGACCUUCAUGGAGACCAAAGGCAUAUUCCACUGGGGCCAAGAGACCUUGACAGGGUAAUUAUUUUUCUCCAGAUGGUUUUGUCAUUUUAAAAAAAUUAUACAGUGAGAUUAUUUUCCUAAAAGGAAACCAAGAGGCGGCUCCUGAGGGCAUUUCUUAUUACUCCUGACCCUGCUCGAGAGCCUUCCCAUCUUUGCACAUGGUAGACAGGGUUUCAGGGACCUUGACUCGGGGUGGGGAAGAGUGGCCCAGCUGUGAAAAAGUGAGUCAUGGCAUCUUCACUAGGGAGUCUCGAGUUACCGGGACAGGGCUCAGCGACCACUGUCACUCAGCAGGCUGCCGGCACCGCUGUGUACUUUAGCUGAGUUCAAGCAUUUGGGAGCUCAUUUCUCAUAUUAUAUCUGGGUUUACUCCUACCAGUCACAGUCUCUUCAUCCUAGGAGAGAAUCUAUUAUGUAAAAACCCACUCUUUGUUAAGCACAUGGAAGGUCCUCAUGGAGAGCCCUGGCUAGAAAAAGCCGGCCCCACGGGGGAGAGGCCAUGGCUAAACCUUUGCGCAGAUGGCCAGCAGGAGCGGAGGCGGCCAGGCCCACUGUGACUUUUCCCUCGCAGCUGUGUGAAAAAUGCUCAAACAGUAGCAUGUAGAAUUACCCAGAAGAUUGCCGAAGCAUGGAUUAGAGUCCCACUUCAAGGGCCUCUGGCCCAGGGAAGAGACCAAGGAUUUAUCUUUCUCACAAGUUCCCAGAGAUGCUGGUAUUGCUGCUCCUGGGACCUUACUUGGAGAAUCACUGACCCAGCGGGAGAUUAAAGGCAAUGCUUUGAAGUUA